GCUGAACUCCGAACAACAUUAGAGAGGGUGCCGAUGAAAUGUGGUGGUGCCUUUGAGAUUACCUCCAGAGUUGGAUGUCAGAGUGUGCAAGGCAUUCGCAGAUUUUAACGUGGAAGAAGCACAUGUCUGUAUUUAUUUCUUCUUUCUAUCUUUCGUUGUUAAGAUGAAGAAAAUAAAUAGAAGAACCAAUUUUGGUGGUGGUUUUCUGUUGAAACUUAGCGUGAGGUUGAAGCUAUAGGGAAGUCAGAUCGUCAAUGUCUCCGCCACUGCCAUAACCGCAGACUAAAACCGAGAGAUUACUUGGAAGGGAACCACUGAUCCCUUUGAGAGUGGAUAUCAUCAGCGGCAUGACAUGGCAUGGGAAGCGGCAACCAAAACAAGGCAAGGGCUGAUGUCUUGAGCAUCAGGAGGCGUGUUGCCUGGUGUUGCAGCGUCAUCCUGUCGGUGGAGCAUGCUGAGCCUGUCAGCACCCAUCAUCCAAGCUGACGCCGGCGAUGAGAAAUUAUCCGGAGCUUAGGCGUCCAAAUCCUCAACCAAUCAGGUGCUAAUUGAGAACCAUUGGGAACUUUUAUCGAGGUGAGAUUGUGUAGACCAUUUGUCUGAGUAGUGUCUAUCUGCAAGACACGUUUCUUACAAUGCUACUGCUAGGUGUAAUAUACUUUCAUACAAUCUCCGUGUCUACUUACUCGCUGACUGUUUAUCAUUUGCGCUGUGCGGGGCUUGCGCAGCAAGCCACUCCCAAAAUAUGGCUUCUUUUGCAUCGAAAAAAUAGCGAAUCCCUUGCUGCAUAGUACUGGCAACUCUAAUUAGUUCAAUACUGGAAAAGUAUAAUAUAUUAUUCUGCCAUAUUUUAAUUGUAAAGUGCUAGCUACUGAAUGGUUGGUGCCAUAUUGAAUUUUAUCCUCUCAAUUUCUUCUGUAUUUUUAUUUUGACGAGAAAAGAAAUUGCCAUCAAUUGCCAUCAAAUCAGAGAUGAGCCUCAAGUUCCAAUUUUCUGAAAUAAAAUUAUUGUGUUGUUCCAUUUUCUUAGAUAAUAGUUGUUUCAGAUGGAAAAUUUAAGAGUUCCUUCUCCUAUCGCACAAAAUGUAUUUUGGGAUUGCUGGUGCGCAUAGAAAUUUUGCCUCUUAUGGAUAACUUGGCGGUAUCCAAUAUGUUCUUAAACCAAUACUCCAAUAUUUUUCCUGCUUAUUGGCCAAUUCUUCUCAGGUUUUUUUAUAGGAAUGGUGACUCUGGAUUUAUAACUGCUGAGCAUCUAUGUAUAUGCAUCUUUUAUAUCAUGAUAGCAAGAUAGCUUAUAUUUUGUAAUGUGUCUGUCAACCCAUAAGCAGGAUGCUCCUUGCUUCUGGGGACAUAUUGGUAUGGGUUGAUCAGCCAAUAUUUUUCCUGUUUAUUGGCCAAUUCUUCUUAGCUUUUUUUUAUAGGAAUGCUGACUCUGGAUUUAUAACUGCUCAGCACCUAUGUAUACACAUCUUUUAU
Long non-coding RNA from Lolium rigidum, 1475 nucleotides. RefSeq lists it as uncharacterized. Lineage: Eukaryota; Viridiplantae; Streptophyta; Magnoliopsida; Poales; Poaceae. The transcript has 5 exons. The record is from RefSeq and is a predicted model, not a curated record.